AUCCAGCUGACGAGUUCCAAAUAGGACGAGAUGCGGGUCUUGAAU
Molecule: non-coding RNA, 45 nt
Organism: Schistosoma rodhaini
Lineage: Eukaryota; Metazoa; Platyhelminthes; Trematoda; Strigeidida; Schistosomatidae
Source: Rfam